CCUUUACCUUUAGCUUAGUGGUAGAGCAUCUGUUUUGCAUGAAAAAGGUCCCAGGUUCAAAUCCCAGCCUCUCCAGGUAGGA
Molecule: non-coding RNA, 82 nt
Organism: Podarcis lilfordi (Lilford's wall lizard)
Lineage: Eukaryota; Metazoa; Chordata; Lepidosauria; Squamata; Lacertidae
Source: the annotation of a GenBank genome assembly